RNAcentral lists this unclassified non-coding RNA (118 nucleotides) under soil metagenome. RNAcentral's name for it is "partial internal transcribed spacer 1". The record is from RNAcentral.
UUGAUUGGCCGUGAGGCCUUAUCGUAUGUCCCAACACACCUCUGUGAACCGUCUGGCCCUUAGGCCGUUUUUACAUAUGAACACUGUGUAACGAACGUCUUGUUAUCUAAACAGAACA